CCCCUCUGGGCAGUAUAGCGCCUGGUUUCCGGGGCAGGCUGUGCAGGCAAAAACAUUAUAAUUGUUUCACUCAACCCCUCUCCAAAACAUUUUCUUCUCGAAGUGCAUUGCCAUUGAACGAAGAUAUUGCCCUGUUUCCCUCCUCCAGUGUUAACCCACAACAUGGAACCUCCUUUUCUCUUCCAGCCUGCCAUGUGUAUCCGACUGUCCCAUCUGCACAGGAGGAUCCAAUCCACCCCUGAUAGGGGGUCCUUCCGCACUCUGAUCAGGAGCAGUCUCUGGCAUGAUGAUCUUGUUGGGUGCCUCUCCAUGCCUGCUCAACAUCUGACCCUGAUCAGGAGGAGAAAUAAGAGGUUUAGGGAGGAUAUGUUCUGGAAGAUCCUCCAAUUCUUUACAGCUCCAGCCUAUAAGUGCAGGGUUUGGAGAGCCCAUCUGAACAUGACCAUGGAGAAGGACCAAAAAUGGAGAGAAUGGUUGCUGCAGGAGAGGCAAAAGGACUGAGAUGCAUCGGGAAAUAAAUCAGAACCUAAUGGCUUUGCUCAGGGAAUAAACUCAAAUGUUCCAGAGUGUCAUUGACCUACAUGCCCAAAGACCCUCAUGGUUGCACUCCCUACAUCCCCCAACAUUCCUCAUGGCACCAUGAUGUACCUCCUUAGCCCUACCUCUCCAUGCUGAACAACAAAGAGAAAAAUACCUACACAUGUACUGAUCUAAAAAAAACACAGGUUGGUGUAUAUGUAAUGCACACAGCUCCAGAAAUGUGGCUAUGAAACCUGAGGCAUUAAAAUGUCAUUAUUGGAAAUAUCCUACACAACUUCAUGUAGACAGGUGGAUCAAUGUUCUUGAGUCUUAACAUAUUGAGAUCUCAUUACCAUAAGCAGGACAA
Molecule: long non-coding RNA, 886 nt
Organism: Chelonia mydas (Green sea turtle)
Lineage: Eukaryota; Metazoa; Chordata; Testudines; Cheloniidae
Exons: 3
Source: RefSeq, a predicted model, not a curated record